UACGAGGGGGGCGAGCGUUGUUCGGAAUUAUUGGGCGUAAAGGGUGCGUAGGCGGUUCCGCAAGUCCUGUGUGAAAGCCCCGGGCUCAACCCGGGAAGUGCACUUGAUACUGCGUGGCUUGAGUAUCGGAGAGGUUGGUGGAAUUCUCGGUGUAGAGGUGAAAUUCGUAGAUAUCAGGAGGAACACCGAUGGCGAAGGCAGUGGGCUGGGCCGGCACUGACGCUGAGGAGCGAAAGCGUGGGGAGCGAACAGG
This 253-nucleotide ribosomal RNA is filed under the name uncultured bacterium. RNAcentral describes it as "partial 16S ribosomal RNA". It matches the Rfam family "Bacterial small subunit ribosomal RNA", at positions 524 to 776 of the family's 1533-position model. The record is from RNAcentral.